GACGAACGCUGGCGGCGUGCUUAUCACAUGCAAGUCGAACGGAAAGGCCCUGCUUUUGUGGGCUUCUCGAGUGGCGAACGGGUGCGUAACACGUGAGUAUCCUGCCCUUCACUUUGGGAUAACUUCAGGAAACUGGGGCUAAUACCGGAUAGGAUCUCCUGCUGCGUGGUGGGGGUUGGAUAGUUUCGGCUGUUGGGGAUGGACUCGCGGCUUAUGAGCUUGUUGGUGGGGUAGUGGCUGACCAAGUCUUUGACGGAUAGGCGGCCUGAGAGGGUGACCGGCGACAUUGGGACUGAGGUACGGCCCAGAGUCGUACGGGAGGCAGCAGGGGGGAAUAUGGCACAGUGAGCGGAAGCCGGAUGAAGCAACGCCGCGUGCGGGAUGACGGCCUUCGGGUUGAAAACCGCUUUCGCCUGUGACGAAGCGUGAGUGACGGUAAUGGGUAAAGAAGCACCGGCUAACUACGUG
RNAcentral lists this ribosomal RNA (468 nucleotides) under uncultured bacterium. RNAcentral describes it as "partial 16S ribosomal RNA". It matches the Rfam family "Bacterial small subunit ribosomal RNA", at positions 28 to 507 of the family's 1533-position model. The record is from RNAcentral.